CAGCAGCCGCGGUAAUACGUAGGUGGCAAGCGUUGUCCGGAAUUAUUGGGCGCAAAGGGCUCGCAGGCGGUUUCUUAAGUCUGAUGUGAAAGCCCCCGGCUCAACCGGGGAGGGUCACUGGAAACUGGGAAACUUGAGUGCAGAAGAGGAGAGUGGAAUUCCACGUGUAGCGGUGAAAUGCGUAGAGAUGUGGAGGAACACCAGUGGCGAAGGCGACUCUCUGGUCUGUAACUGACGCUGAGGAGCGAAAGCGUGGGGAGCGAACAGGAUUAGAUACCCCAGUAGUCCCUGUCUCUUAUAC
Molecule: ribosomal RNA, 301 nt
Filed under: uncultured bacterium
Lineage: Bacteria
Description: partial 16S ribosomal RNA
Rfam family: Bacterial small subunit ribosomal RNA
Source: RNAcentral